This 163-nucleotide small nuclear RNA is filed under the name Suricata suricatta (meerkat). Its description in RNAcentral is "U2 spliceosomal RNA (ENSSSUG00005017449.1)". It matches the Rfam family "U2 spliceosomal RNA". Rfam says of the family: U2 is a small nuclear RNA (snRNA) component of the spliceosome (involved in pre-mRNA splicing). Complementary binding between U2 snRNA (in an area lying towards the 5' end but 3' to hairpin I) and the branchpoint sequence (BPS) of the intron results the bulging out of an unpaired adenosine, on the BPS, which initiates a nucleophilic attack at the intronic 5' splice site, thus starting the first of two transesterification reactions that mediate splicing. The record is from Rfam by way of RNAcentral. Lineage: Eukaryota; Metazoa; Chordata; Mammalia; Carnivora; Herpestidae.
AUUGCUUCUCGGCCUUUUGGCUAAGAUCAAGUGUAUAAUCUGUUACUCAUAAUGGAGUAGAAUUAGGUCAAACAUCUAAUCUCCUAUGACUUCCUUCUUUAUCUCCCAUGUAUAACUUUGAAUAUCCUGUAAUUACAGAUAUUACUUUUCUUCAAGACCUCAA